CGGAGUAUAGCUCAGUGGAUAGAGCAACGGCCUUCUAAGCCGUGGGUCGUAGGUUCGAAUCCUACUACUUCGACCA
RNAcentral lists this transfer RNA (76 nucleotides) under Raoultella phage Ro1. RNAcentral's name for it is "tRNA-Arg". It matches the Rfam family "tRNA". From Rfam's summary of the family: Transfer RNA (tRNA) molecules are approximately 80 nucleotides in length. Their secondary structure includes four short double-helical elements and three loops (D, anti-codon, and T loops). Lineage: Duplodnaviria; Heunggongvirae; Uroviricota; Caudoviricetes. The record is from RNAcentral.